This is an RNA transcript of Triticum dicoccoides, 1365 nucleotides long. RefSeq lists it as uncharacterized. The record is from RefSeq and is a predicted model, not a curated record. NCBI's taxonomy places the organism in Eukaryota, Viridiplantae, Streptophyta, Magnoliopsida, Poales, Poaceae. The transcript is spliced from 6 exons.
UGUACCAGGCCGUCUACCUUUUGGGUUGAGCCGUGGAACAAUUACGUCGGAGCGAACCUGAGCCGUUCUGGAAGCCUGCCGCCGGCACGGACGGCUGCCCUUCCCCAAGGCUGCGGGAGGCUGCGGUUCCUCCGGCGGCCGGCGAUGCAAGAUGCUGGGCUUGAAUCCUUCUGGAUGCGGUCGACCAGUUUCCGGUGCGAGCGGAGUUCGCGGACAGCCUGGAACAUCCAGAUCCGGUGCCUCUUGCGGUGCUCCCGCGACGUGAUGCCACCCCUGCUACGCCGGCGGAUUCGAAUGCGGGCUCCGGGUGCAGGCAGCACGUUGGUUGCGCUAGCCCUGGGAGGAUGCAGGGUGAAAAUCGCUGUCGACAGCCGGGCUCUCCGACGAGGUCUGCGCAGUCCACCCACAGGGUAAAUCCAGAGGCGCCGGGAUGGACCAAAAGGUUACAUCUUGGGAGUGCGCCACCGGACAGAACGCCGUGUCCAUAUAGGAUGAGUGCUUUAGGGCAGUCAAUUCGCAAGUAUGCCCCUGCUCCCCGCUCGUCGCAGUCCUGGCAUCCCGCUUGUCCCCACAUGCGUCGUCUUUGUGUCUCCGCCGGUGCCACCACUACUCGCUGCUCGUUGCUGCCAGUCGAGCAAGAUGUCCGGUGCUGCGGUGGACAAGCACAAGACGCCAACGGAGGAAGAGAAUAGGAAUCCGGCGUGGGAGGAUGAGGAGGACAAGGAUCAGGCGAGAAAGGAGGUGGUUAUAGGUCUGAUACUUAGCAUGAUUUAUUUUCAGUAUUCUCUGUAGUUUAUAAGCAGCAAAUGCCACCAGGGAAUGCUCCAUGUUGUAAGAAAAUUGUGAAUUCUGAACCUAGUCAAGUGCUUCUACUACAAGCAACUGUUACAAUGAAGAAAAAGCCAUCACUGGUUUAUCACAGCAGAAGGUGGGUGCAGGAGAUGAUGAUGAUGCACUGCUAAUAUUGGACUUGCCAGCGCAAAGGGUCAUUUUUGUGGCAGCCCAGAGAUAGGAAAACUGUGUCUAGUCAAGACCUACUUAGCAACAAAGAGACAGGUCUUCAGAGCAGCUGCCAUUGACUUGGAAAAGUUCAGCACUAAAAUUUGAUGUUCAGGAGAAUCAAAUUCAUCAUAAAUAAGGGGCUGCCAUUGACUUGUUGUUCAUCGCAAAGUUCAGGAGAAUCUGUAUGUAUGUUCAGAACUAUGAAAUCUGGUGUUCAAGCACAUGUUCAGGAUGAAAUCUGUAACCUGAAUCUGAUGUUUAAGCUAGCAGUGAUGUAUGCUCACUGAAAUUAUGUUAGUUUUAAAACUGCUCGUUGCUGCAUUUGAUAAACUGAAUCUAACACUGUAUCAAAUGGACCGAAGA